Molecule: long non-coding RNA, 145 nt
Organism: Scomber japonicus (chub mackerel)
Lineage: Eukaryota; Metazoa; Chordata; Actinopteri; Scombriformes; Scombridae
Exons: 3
Source: RefSeq, a predicted model, not a curated record
GGGGUACCGAGAAUCGCUUAAUAUGUUCUUUGAGGAAUGGAUGGAUACAAAACUGUCACACGCCAGAGAAAAAAGAGCGACUAUCAUAAAUCAGACUGACUUUGUAAUCGAAGUUAUUGUAUAUCUCUCUGACCCUGACCAACUC